RNAcentral lists this unclassified non-coding RNA (343 nucleotides) under soil metagenome. RNAcentral describes it as "partial contains 5.8S ribosomal RNA, internal transcribed spacer 2, and large subunit ribosomal RNA". The stretch from base 1 to 120 matches the Rfam family "5.8S ribosomal RNA", at positions 35 to 154 of the family's 154-position model. The record is from RNAcentral.
GAUGAAGAACGUAGCGAAAUGCGAUAAGUAAUGUGAAUUGCAGAAUUCAGUGAAUCAUCGAAUCUUUGAACGCACAUUGCGCCCGCCAGCAUUCUGGCGGGCAUGCCUGUUCGAGCGUCAUUUCAACCCUCGAGCCCCCCCGGGGGCCUCGGUGUUGGGGGACGGCACACCAGCCGCCCCCGAAAUGCAGUGGCGACCCCGCCGCAGCCUCCCCUGCGUAGUAGCACACACCUCGCACCGGAGCGCAGAGGCGGUCACGCCGUAAAACGCCCAACUUUCUUAGAGUUGACCUCGGAUCAGGUAGGAAUACCCGCUGAACUUAAGCAUAUCAAUAAGCGGAGGA